AGAAGAUGGUCAGUCCAGAAGCAGGGGAAGGAAAUUUCUCACCACUCAACCUCCACAGUGGCCAAGAAGACUGAGAAAACACCAGGCGCCAUUCCAUUCCUGUUACUCCCAGCGCUACUUAGGAGGCAGCCUAAGCAGCUAUCAUUUCUGCCAGCUGCUUCCAAAUGAACCCAAGGCUGGGAGGAGACAGCCUUGGUUUCCCUACCUGUCAGAAGAGUUCACAGUGUCAUCCUGGCCUACUUCCCUAGGCAGAACUAUCAAAGCUACUACAGCUGAGCCCAAAGCAUCAGACUCAGGGCCUGGAGAGGGCCCGGGAAGGAGUCAGUCCAAGCUCCUCAAUGUGCAGAUGAGAAACUGAGGCUCAGAGACAGACAGUAUGAGUAGCAGUAAGGAGAGGCUGGAGCCCCAUCCAAGUUGGCCUUUUGCCUCCCAACUUCAAAAGCCGCCUUAGCACCAAAAAAUUAAAACAGACAGGAGCAGGGAGGCAUGUUCCAGAAGAGGAAACAGGCUUAACUGAGGCUCCUUCAUGCAAAAGAGUGCCGAGCUUGAAGGCUACACAGAGCUUCCUCUCUCUGUUAUUUUCUGGACUAUUUGCUUCUUGCUUUGUCUUUUUAAAAAAUGGCCCAAAGAGUCAGGGGCAAGAAUUGAGUGUGCCCCUGAGCGGGUGGCUGGGUUUUGAGUUGGGGUGAUGGGCUCCAGGCACACUGCCCAGACUCCGAGGGCCAUCCUGGGGUCCACCUGGUGGCUGCAGCCAGCUGCCUGCCUAGAUCGCACUGCGGUGAGGCAGCGGGUCCCAAAAUACCUUUGCGCCGGGAGAUAGGCCCGAAGGCGAAAGGUGGGCGGGGCGAGGGGAGGAGUGCGGCCCCGCUCCGCCUCACGCAAAGGCGGCCACGUGAGCGCCCAGCCCCGCCUAACCGUCCGGACUCGGAUCCCGACCUCCACCUCGGAGCUGGGUCUAGCCUCCAACCCCAUGAGGUCACGGAGCCUCUUGCCCACCCUGAGCCGGCCAGUGGGCCAGGCCCUCACCGUCUUCGAUCUGACCUUGAGCCUUCUCCUCCACACGUGCCUCCCCGCCUCCACUGCGCCAAAGUUCGGAGGGAUACCGGCAGCGACCAAUCCGACGCCUCUUUAUAGACAGGGAAACUGAGGCCCAGAGCCCAGGAGCGAGAGGCAAGGUCACUCAGAGAGCCAGGCACAGCGCCGGAACGAGGUCCAGGGCUUUCCCGGGGUCGCCCCUCACGCCCAGUUCAGCGCGGUGCAAUCCAGCGGUCUCACCUCUAGCACCACGCGGCCGAGCGGCUCCCCGUCGGCGCCCACGUCCAGGACCUUGGACUGAGAAGCAGCCUCCUUUACUCAUGUUACUCCUUCUACCCUGUUUGGAAAAUCAAGCAUCAUCACUACCUUCCUGCCUAAGCCAGAGAAAAGUUCCACUUCCCUUACAGAUUCAGCUGUGAAGUCAUCUCUACCUGUACUGUCAUCAGUGGCAUCAGGAAUAGGGACAGUUUCUAGGCUGAGCUAUGAACUGAAAUAUGUCCAGCCCUUGAAGACUUCUGGCCCAGGUGAGACCAGGCAGGUGUCAGCACUCAUCUGGCUCUGAGACUAUUUAUAGAAGCUGUGUCAUCCUCAGGAACAACAGUUACUGUAUCACUCAUCCCAAGAGGCUUCUUAUUCACAGUGUUAAUAGUUUUCAUCACCUGGGGAUCCUGUAACACCAGUCUUUAGACCUCACAUGGCCAAAGAACAGUCAGGUCAUGCUGGGCUCAGAGAUGGCAUUCAGGAAUUGCAAACUCAGAUGCCUCUGGGGGUCUGCAGGUGACAUACCUAAAUGGAGCAUUCUGGGUAUGGCUCUGGUGAGUAAGGGAAGUGCCACUGUGUCCAGGCACCCCAACUAAAGGAUCAGCUACUGCCCAGACCAGCCAAUUACUGUAUGUGAGACUAUGGGUCUACUAUAGCCAAGUCUCCUAAUUUUUCAAUAAAAGCUAAAAACUUUA
Long non-coding RNA from Pteropus alecto (black flying fox), 1991 nucleotides. RefSeq lists it as uncharacterized. The record is from RefSeq and is a predicted model, not a curated record. The transcript has 2 exons. NCBI's taxonomy places the organism in Eukaryota, Metazoa, Chordata, Mammalia, Chiroptera, Pteropodidae.